Meriones unguiculatus (Mongolian gerbil) is the source of this 105-nucleotide small nuclear RNA. The record is from Ensembl. Lineage: Eukaryota; Metazoa; Chordata; Mammalia; Rodentia; Muridae.
GUGCUCGCUUCAGUGACAUAUUUACUAAAAUUUGAAUAAUACAGAGCAGAUAGCAUGGACCUGGAGCAAGGAUGACACAAAAUUCAUGAAGUGUUUCAUAUUUUU